Molecule: ribosomal RNA, 756 nt
Filed under: uncultured bacterium
Lineage: Bacteria
Description: bacterial SSU rRNA
Rfam family: Bacterial small subunit ribosomal RNA
Source: RNAcentral
AGUGGCGCACGGGUGCGUAACACGUGAGCAAUCUGCCGGGAAGUGGGGGAUAGCUCGCCGAAAGGCGAAUUAAUACCGCAUGUGGCCAUCCUUCGAGUGGAGGAAAAGCCAAAGCAGCAAUGCGCUUCCUGAUGAGCUCGCGGCCCAUCAGCUCGAUGGCGGGGUAACGGCCCACCAUGGCUUUGACGGGUAGCUGGUCUGAGAGGACGACCAGCCACACUGGAACUGAGAUACGGUCCAGACACCUACGGGUGGCAGCAGUCGAGAAUUUUUCACAAUGGGGGCAACCCUGAUGGAGCGACGCCGCGUGGAGGAUGAAGGCCUUCGGGUUGUAAACUCCUGUCAUGCGGGAACAAGCAAGUGAUAGUACCGCAAGAGGAAGAGACGGCUAACUCUGUGCCAGCAGCCGCGGUAAUACAGAGGUCUCAAGCGUUGUUCGGAUUCAUUGGGCGUAAAGGGUGCGUAGGUGGUGGCGCAAGUCUGGUGUGAAAUCUCGGAGCUCAACUCCGAAAUUGCACCGGAUACUGCGUGACUCGAGGACUGUAGAGGAGAUCGGAAUUCACGGUGUAGCAGUGAAAUGCGUAGAUAUCGUGAGGAAGACCAGUUGCGAAGGCGGAUCUCUGGGCAGCUCCUGACACUGAGGCACGAAGGCCAGGGGAGCAAACGGGAUUAGAUACCCCGGUAGUCCUGGCAGUAAACGGUGCACGUUUGGUGUGGGCGGGUUCAGACCCCGUCCGUGCCGGAGCUAACGCGUAA